Molecule: ribosomal RNA, 497 nt
Filed under: uncultured bacterium
Lineage: Bacteria
Description: partial 16S ribosomal RNA
Rfam family: Bacterial small subunit ribosomal RNA
Source: RNAcentral
GAUGAACGCUGGCGGCGUGCCUAAUACAUGCAAGUCGAGCGAACGGACGAGAAGCUUGCUUCUCUGAUGUUAGUGGCGGACGGGUGAGUAACACGUGGAUAACCUACCUAUAAGACUGGGAUAACUUCGGGAAACCGGAGCUAAUACCGGAUAAUAUUUUGAACCGCAUGGUUCAAAAGUGAAAGACGGUCUUGCUGUCACUUAUAGAUGGAUCCGCGCUGCAUUAGCUAGUUGGUAAGGUAACGGCUUACCAAGGCAACGAUGCAUAGCCGACCUGAGAGAGGGAUCGGCGACACUGGAACUGAGACGCGGUCCAGACUCCUACGGGAGGCAGCAGUAGGGAAUCUUCCGCAAUGGGCGGAAGCCUGACGGAGCAACGCCACGUGAGUGAUGAAGGUCUUCGGAUCGUAAAACUCUGUUAUUAGGGAAGAACAUAUGUGUAAGUAACUGUGCACAUCUUGACGGUACCUAAUCAGAAAGCCACGGCUAACUACGUG